This is a non-coding RNA of Gossypium raimondii (Peruvian cotton), 123 nucleotides long. NCBI's taxonomy places the organism in Eukaryota, Viridiplantae, Streptophyta, Magnoliopsida, Malvales, Malvaceae. The record is from Rfam.
ACUAGAAGAAUAAAAAAUUAGAUUUUUUCUCCUAAUUUUCAGCCUUUUCCUCCUGAAAAAAUUUAAAUCCAACUAAAAAUGCUAAAAAUCAAGAGGAAAAAUCUGAUUUGUUAUUCUUCUAUU